Molecule: ribosomal RNA, 561 nt
Filed under: Triticum aestivum (bread wheat)
Lineage: Eukaryota; Viridiplantae; Streptophyta; Magnoliopsida; Poales; Poaceae
Description: partial small subunit ribosomal RNA
Source: RNAcentral
AUGAUCACGGAGUGCAUCAAGAGGAGAAAACAGGGUCGCCGUGGUGGCCGUCCUCAAAAGGACUCGGGAGGCUCCUCUAAUUCUCGUGAGGGCUCCCUUGAGAAGGUUCACCAGGAGAUGCUCACCUUGCUGCGCCGCCUUACUGCUUCUGCACCAUCCUCAGGUUCUGCUGGUUCUGCUGGUCAGACGUCUGGUCCACCACCGCACUCUUCGUCAGGUACAUCUUUGCCCUGGAUUCUUGAUUCUGGGGCCUCCUUCCACAUGACACCACACAGAGAUCAUCUUUGUGCUGUCAAUUCCGUGCCUUCUCCUCUUACAGUUCAGACUGCAGAUGGCACUUCUCUUUCUGUUGCCGCAAGAGGGACUCUUUCCACGUCUUCUUUUCAUGUCCCUGCCGUUUCUCAUGUUCCUAAACUGACUAUGCAACUUCUAUCUGCUGGUCAACUUACUGACUUGGGUUGUCGUGUUAUUCUGGAUUCUGACUCUUGUUGUGUUCAGGAUCGUCGUACGGGGACUCUGGUUGGGAUCGGUCCUCGGCGCCAUGACUCUCAGCGCCUUUAG